This 513-nucleotide ribosomal RNA is filed under the name uncultured bacterium. Its description in RNAcentral is "bacterial SSU rRNA". It matches the Rfam family "Bacterial small subunit ribosomal RNA", at positions 34 to 518 of the family's 1533-position model. The record is from RNAcentral.
CGCUGGCGGCGUGCCUAAUACAUGCAAGUCGAACGGCUUUUCUAUGGAAGCUUGCUUCCGACUGAGAAGAUAGUGGCGAACGGGUGAGUAACACGUGGGUAACCUGCCCAUAAGAGGGGGAUAACAUCCGGAAACGGGUGCUAAUACCGCAUAGUUUCUUGAUUGCAUGAUUGAGAAAGGAAAGACGGCCUUUGUGCUGUCGCUUAUGGAUGGACCCGCGGCGUAUUAGUUAGUUGGUGAGGUAACGGCUCACCAAGACGAUGAUACGUAGCCGACCUGAGAGGGUGAUCGGCCACAUUGGGACUGAGACACGGCCCAAACUCCUACGGGAGGCAGCAGUAGGGAAUCUUCCGCAAUGGACGAAAGUCUGACGGAGCAACGCCGCGUGAGUGAAGAAAAGGUUUUCGGAUCGUAAAAACUCUGUUGUCAGAGAAGAACAAGUUGGAGAGUAACUGCUCCAGCCUUGACGGUAUCUGACCAGAAAGCCACGGCUAACUACGUGCCAGCCGCUGC